GGGGAGCCGGGCUCACAGCGCGGGGUUUGGGCACAGCGAGCAGGAACUGGAGAGAGCUGCCCUUAGACGGGACGGACUGCGGAGGAGGCGGCUUCCCUGCAGGGCGGUGCUCGGAGGAAGUAGCACCAAGUCAGAGGAAGCUGUGACUCAGAGGCUGAUGAAUCACUCCUGCUCCGGAUUACACGGCUUUUUUCCUCCUCCUGGGCCUCCAGCACGGACUGAGGAGCCCAGUGUCUCAUUGGAGCACGUUCUGCCAGGAAGGUGCUGAUGGAGGAAGGGUACCUUGCAAUGGGGCUUCAGCCCUCGAGUCACAGAAUUGUAGAACCAUUCAGGUUGGAGAAGACCUCUCAGAUCCCCAAGUCCAACCCCAACCCACCACACCAUGCCCACAUCCCUCAGUGCUACAUGUUCGUGGUUCACAACACCUCCAGGGAUGGUGACCCCGCCACUCCCAGGGCAGCCCGUGCCACUGCAUCACCACUUCUUUGGAUGAGUUUUUCCUAAUAUCCAACCUGAACCUUCCCUGGAACAAUAGAAGGCCAUCACCUCUCAUUCCUCCCCUUUUGUUGUUUCUUCCCAGAGAGGCACACAGCUCACUCGUUUGGUAUCUUUUAUUAAUGUAUAGAAAAUGCAUUAAAAAAAGGAACUAUA
Tympanuchus pallidicinctus (lesser prairie-chicken) is the source of this 651-nucleotide long non-coding RNA. RefSeq lists it as uncharacterized. The transcript is spliced from 3 exons. Lineage: Eukaryota; Metazoa; Chordata; Aves; Galliformes; Phasianidae. The record is from RefSeq and is a predicted model, not a curated record.